AUCUAGUGGUGAGGACAGCUUGCACUUAAUUUCUUGAAUCUUUCCCAGUACUCAUACAAACUCUCUCCACUAAGUUUCAUGAUGCCUGAAAUGUCUUUUUUGAUGGU
Molecule: non-coding RNA, 107 nt
Organism: Glycine soja
Lineage: Eukaryota; Viridiplantae; Streptophyta; Magnoliopsida; Fabales; Fabaceae
Source: Rfam